This 504-nucleotide ribosomal RNA is filed under the name uncultured bacterium. RNAcentral's name for it is "partial 16S ribosomal RNA". It matches the Rfam family "Bacterial small subunit ribosomal RNA", at positions 30 to 523 of the family's 1533-position model. The record is from RNAcentral.
AUUGAACGCUGGCGGCAGGCCUAACACAUGCAAGUCGAGCGGUAACACAGGGAGCUUGCUCCUGGGUGACGAGCGGCGGACGGGUGAGUAAUGUCUGAGAAACUGCCUGAUGGAGGGGGAAAACUACUGGAAACGGUAGCUAAUACCGCAUAACGUCGUAAGACCAAAGAGGGGGACCUUCGGGCCUCUUGCGAUCAGAUGUGCCCAGAUGGGAUUAGCUAGUAGGUGGGGUAACGGCUCACCUAGGCGACGAUCCCUAGCUGGUCUGAGAGGAUGACCAGCCACACUGGAACUGAGACACGGUCCAGACUCCUACGGGAGGCAGCAGUGGGGAAUAUUGCACAAUGGGCGCAAGCCUGAUGCAGCCAUGCCGCGUGUAUGAAGAAGGCCUUCGGGUUGUAAAGUACUUUCAGCGGGGAGGAAGGCGUUGUGGUUAAUAACCACAGCGAUUGACGUUACCCGCAGAAGAAGCACCGGCUAACUCCGUGCCAGCAGCCGCCGUAA